CUUUAAAGGCUCUGGGGCUCCCCAAGAUGCCGUUUCCUUGUCUAAUAUGUCCCCAAAAUUCCACCUACUCUUAACUGCUCACAUGGGGAAGAAGCGUCCUUAGCAUCUAACAGGCUGAGCAAUUCUUUCACUGUUCAUGCUUUUCUGAGAGGCAAAAGGGUGGUUUUUCUUUUUCGCAACGCCUCACUUCAGAGCCACUAGAUGGCACUCACUCCCCACUUCCGUUCCUAGCUUUCUUCAAAGUGGACUCUCCAGAGCCUGGAGGCUAGGACUUUCUGUGUAGAAAGUAGAUGAGGGAGGAGUCCUAAUUCAUGAGAUGCCCCAUAGGCUUCAGUGCACGGAAAUCUGAGAAAACGGAAAGAAACCUGUCUCUCACAACAGCACUAAUCAGUUUGAGCACUGUUCAGGCCUUCUAGUUGCAUAGCAAAUGACAUUUCAUAAAUAUUCAUUAGUUCGAGGAAUUUAGGAGAAAAGCAGGAACUACUAACAGUAUGUGGUAUUGAGUGUAAUUUAUGCCCGAGCCUCUCUGGAAUGCAAAAAAGGAGACCCUUAUUCCACAAGAUCUGUUAGUUUGCUCAUUACCACUGGUGAAGGGGACACCUGCUGGAUUGCCCCUCCUUGUCACAGAAUUCAAACUACACAGACCAGAAAGCAACAGACCAGCGGGCCUGCUUUCUGCUGAUGUGGGCCGAAGGCCUGCCCCCAGAGCAGUGCGGACAGUAGUUGUUAUUGUUUUUCUAGAUGAGUUUCAAGGGCUACCUAAGGGUUUGCAUAGCCCUUCCUCAUGUUUUCCCACAGGAACCUACCUCCACGCAGAGCUGGGAGAGAGGGGAACAAAGAAGUAGUGGCACCACGCUCUAAAAACCAGUCCAGCCAGCACACGGCCAGAACAUUCGGAAUCAGGGGUUCUCUCCAUGGCACCAGAGAGUCUUCAGUUCUACAUGGAAGCCGUCACUAGCCAGCCUAGAACUAACUCUAAGAGGCUGGUGACAGAUGCGUCUCUGUGCAAAAGAUUUCAAGAGCUAGGCACUGGGAUCAAACCAAAGGCCUUGAACAUGCUAGACAGAGAGCAUGGCUGUCAAACAGAAGAAAGAAUUGCUGCAUGGAAGACAGCCGACGGAAGGCAGGUGUAAAACAGACCUGUUAGCAGACUUCUGCAGUGAGCCAGGUGAUAUGGCUUGCUGGUGGAUAUAAAAGGUGGACGUGAGAGACAGUAAGCAUCCACGCCAAUAAAUGGAAUGUAUGACUAGGCACACAGAAGAACCACCACCAAGAAGACAAAGAGCCAGCGUGAAGAGGGAGCAUUAAGGCUCUGGGUUGUAACAAGUGAAAUUUGAGACUCCCGUAGGAUGUCAAGAGCAGAUGUCACACAGGAAGGCAGAGAUGCACUCUGUUGGGAAUACUGGACAAAUAGAGGCUAUUUGAACAGUUAUUGGCUUUUGAUAUGUUUUCGUCUCUUUUUAAUGUCAGGAUGGCCUUGUACUUGUUUUAUUUGGCUCUUCUCUUUAUUGUAUUUGGGCUGUGGCACUGGUUACCAUUUUCAGUCUCCUAUUUUAAUCAUUCAAAUUGUGCCUUAUUUUGUAA
Mesocricetus auratus (golden hamster) is the source of this 1584-nucleotide long non-coding RNA. RefSeq lists it as uncharacterized. NCBI's taxonomy places the organism in Eukaryota, Metazoa, Chordata, Mammalia, Rodentia, Cricetidae. The record is from RefSeq and is a predicted model, not a curated record. The transcript has 4 exons.